UACGGAGGGAGCUAGCGUUGUUCGGAAUUACUGGGCGUAAAGCGCACGUAGGCGGCUUUGUAAGUUAGAGGUGAAAGCCCGGGGCUCAACCCCGGAAUUGCCUUUAAGACUGCAUCGCUUGAAUCCGGGAGAGGUGAGUGGAAUUCCGAGUGUAGAGGUGAAAUUCGUAGAUAUUGGGAAGAACACCGGUGGCGAAGGCGGGUCUCUGGGCCGUAACUGACGCUGAGGAGCGAAAGCGUGGGGAGCGAACAGG
RNAcentral lists this ribosomal RNA (253 nucleotides) under uncultured bacterium. RNAcentral describes it as "partial 16S ribosomal RNA". It matches the Rfam family "Bacterial small subunit ribosomal RNA", at positions 524 to 776 of the family's 1533-position model. The record is from RNAcentral.